This 36052-nucleotide long non-coding RNA is filed under the name Gossypium barbadense (sea-island cotton). RNAcentral's name for it is "long non-coding RNA (GBAR_LNC018979)". Lineage: Eukaryota; Viridiplantae; Streptophyta; Magnoliopsida; Malvales; Malvaceae. The record is from RNAcentral.
GCAACUGAUCUUGAAGUUCCAAAAUCUGAUACUUUUGCCCUAUAUUUACCAUCCAAAAGUAUGUUACUAGAUUUGAUGUCUCGAUGAUAAAUAGGUGCAGAAGCAGCUGAAUGCAAAUAGAACAAGGCAUUGGCAAUUUCAAUCGCAAUUCGUAAACGCAUUUCCCAUGUCAAUGGUAAUUCUUCAUUUUGGUUAUGAAUGAGAUCGUAUAAUGUACCAUUUGGGAUGAACUCAUACACCAAUAGAGGAACUUCAGCUUCUAAACAACACCCUAAAAGCUUAACCACAUUCCUGUGAUUAAUUUGAGAUAAAAUGAUCACCUCGUUAAUGAACUGUUCAACCUUCUUUUCAUCAAAUUUCUUUCCUUCCACCAUUUUGGAUUUCUUAAUAGCCACAAUGCUUCCAUAUAUUAGCAUUCCUUUAUAAACAGUCCCUUGACCCCCUUGACCAAGAAUUCGGUUCUCAUUAUAAUAAUCCGUCGCCUUUUCCAUCUCUUUUGAAGUAAACAACUUAAUUUUUUCAACAUUACCUUCAUUGCUAGACAAAUGUUGUUGCAGUAACAAACCUCCAUUCCUUUUGAAGUAUUUCUGCUUCAGCAAGAUUUUUUGUUUUCUUUUGAGGGCUUUGUACAUACUCCAUGUUGCGAGUAGUAGAAAUAGUGUCCCAACACUAGUGCUGCAACCUAUAUAGAUAUAAGAAACAUUGUUAAUGGCUAAAAUUGAAAAUUAAAAUACAUGCUUAAAAACCAUGAAAAUGUUUAAUAAUUUUUUACUCAUAGUUGAUAGUGAUUCAUUUUAAAUAAAAAAAUGAGAAAACCUUAUUACAUCAUUCAUUGUUUUGAUAUUUAACUUUUACAAAUUUAAUGAUAAAUAAUUGUUACUACAUCCGCAUUCAAAAGUAAAUAAAUUACUACUUGAAUUAACAUAAUUCAAUAACCAUAAUGAUUCCACUGUAAAAAUAAAAAGUGUAAAUUCACCACGUACCUACAAUAAUACUUUUCAAAUUACGAGUGUUUUGAGUUUCUAUUUUACGCUCGCAACGAAAUCCCGUACUAUUGUAUUCAUAAUGAGGAGGGCAAGAGUCUGACCAACAAUAGUUGGUAGGGGUAUUCAAGCAAAGCAUGUUGCAAUACUUAUAAUUCUCACAUUUCCCAUCUGUCAUUUAUGAAAUGGAAAAAAAAAGAAAAAGAAAAAGAAAAGAAGAAGCUAUAAUCAUAUAAUUCAUUUAUAGUAUUGAAUCAACUUAGUUCCUCUAUUAUUAAAUAGAUCAAUUUAGUCCUUAUACUAUUAAAAAAAUUAAAUAAAUUUAAAUUAUAACAAUGUUAACAUUUACUAUAUAAAAAGCAUCUACAAAACUAUAAAAAAAAUUGACUUUCUUUGAUUCUUUUGAUUCCUUUUUAUGACACAGGGACUAAAUUAAUUCAUUUAAUAGCUUUCUAAUUUCUUUCUCCUUUUGUUGGUUCAAAUUAUGCUUAGGGAGUAUUCUAGCAAUACGUAUGCAAAACCAUUAUUUCAGAAAAAAAAUAAAACAUGAAAAAAAAUUUCAUUAUGGUGCGUUUGUUCAAAUUUCAUUAUACUCAUUUUUUUAGAUUUUACAUAAAAUAUAAAAUGACAAAAAUACUCUCAUAAUAAUAUUUGUUCUUUUAUAAAAGUAAUGGAUUUUCAUAAUUUCUUGAUCGAGUCGAGACUUAAUUGAUGAGUGACACCAACUCAAUUAGUCCUUUGAAAAAUAAUUCAAAUUGAAGGCACAUCCAUGAUGUGAGUGAAAAAAAUUAUGUAAUUAACAUAUUUAUUAAAAGCUUAUAUAAGACAAUGAAUUCUUGGUUGAAAUGAUAAAAUUAAAUUUUAAAAUUUAAUGUGUGAAAGGUUCAAAUCUCACCAUGUUAGGUUUAUUAUGGAUUUUAUAUAAAAAUGUAAAAAGAUGAAAAUACCCUUAAAAUAAUAUAACUUAAUUUGUAUAUAAAAAGAUAUUUUAAUAAAUUUUCGAUUGAGGUAUUAAGUAAGAUAAUAUAGAUAUAAGAAAAGAAGUUCCCUAAAAAAAUGUUAACUUGUACCUUUGCAUGCUCUUGAAUAACUGAUAUCACUGUCUUCCCUCAUGCACGAACAUAGAUGGUUAGAGCUCAACCUCGACCAACAAUAUUCACCAUCGAAUGUACAAGAAGUGUCCAAACUAUCGUUCAAAUAGCACUCUCCAGAUAUUAGAGUGCCCCAUUGCAGUUGAAUUGGGACAUGCAUCCUCUUACUUAGAUCCAAAUCAUCAGUGAAAUCAGAGUUAUAAGAAAUCAAGGAAGCAAAUCCGCAUGACCUUUUCCUCCUAUAAUCACUUGAAUCAACCAUAUCACUCAUGUUUGCAAAGAAUGAACUGAGACCUUUAGGAAUAGUAAGAGGACAACCAACAAUAGAGGAAGUCUUCUUAUUAAUCCUACAACUUGGUUGCAAACAUCCGCCUAUAAGAUUAUCUGUUUCGUUACCGAAAAUAGUAACCAAAUUACCACAACCUGAAGACCAGAAGAGGUUGUCUAAAUCUGAGUAGUAAAAGCGGGUGCCUGUUAGGUUGAGACUCAUCCCAUUGUGAUGGUUUUUUUGACAAUUGAAGUAAGUUACUGGAUGGUUAACCUCGACAGUGCCACGCAAAAAACUGAAGUCUAGUAUUUGUAGAUUCGUGCCAUUUAUAUUCAAUGAAGGCACUUCUUUCCCAUUGGCAGUUUUGCUGCAAAUUACUUGAAACCAGUUAUUGGAAUCAUCUUGGGCCUUCAUGCUAAAAGGGUAGUGAAAAGUAACAUUCCCACAGGACUCUACCUUAGAGGUGUUGAAGUUGAUAGGUCCUAGUCCUGGUCUUCCGCAUCCUGCGAGCUUAGCAAAAGGAAGUAAAUUAUAAAAUCUACUAAAUGUAUAUACAUCCAAUGUUUGUAGGAAAUAAAAGGAAUGUAUCAUUCAAAAAACAAAAAUACACUAACAAAAGUAUUAUAUUGUAGAUACAGAAGCUUAGGUUCUAUAUCAAGUAACCCCAUUCUUUACCUCUAAUCAUCAAAAUAAAUAAAUAUUUAUUAAUAAAAGUCGUAUGAAAAGUGUUACUCUAAGUAAAUUUUUUAAUUAAAUUUGUGUGUUAUUUGUGACACUAAACUCAAUAAAGGAUUUCUUAUUAAUAUAGAUACCAGUAUAAAUCUUACGGUUGAAUUUGAUGUGAUUCAAUAUUUUUAAUUAAAAAUAUUAAUAUUAAUAUACAAAAUGAAUGAUUCUCAAUACUGAUUUUAAACAAUUAGCAAAAUCUAUACAUUAACUGAAUUAAAAGAAGAAAAAUGAAAGCCAAGCAAUUGAAGUGACAGCGCGUGACUGACCUCCGUCACCGCAAUAGGUGGAAUUCCAGCUGAGCAUGGCGGGAACAUGCUUUGUUCCAAUAUUGAUGCCAGUGGGUAAUGGGUAAGCACUACGGAAAGAGUAGUCGGUAAAGAAGAAAGCAGAUGCGCAUUUGUUGCUGUCCGGAUACAUGGCUGUCAUGUUUACAGUAUAGGAAGUGAAAUUUCCCGUAAUUAGAGUAAAGCAGCCAGAUUCAGAAGCACCAUCGUCACACCUUGGUUGAACGCAGCCGCCAAGUGAAUCAGCUUCGUUACUUAAAACAGUAGCCAAAUUUCCGCAACCUACUGACCCGAAAUAAUUUCUGUCACUUGAGAAGAAAAAGGGAGUGCCUGAGAGAUUCACACUCACACUAGCCUCGCUUAUACGAUCACAAUUAAAAUAAGUAACUGGAUUACUGAUGAUAAUGGUGUUAGAAAUCAAACCCACUCCAAGCAUAAUCUAGAAGCAUGAGACGUGGAGCAAUUUUGUGCCAUGCAAAGUGCUGAAAUUUUAGCCAUACAAAGUGCUCCAUUAUUGAGAUGUUUUGUGGCUGGAAAUUAAGUGGAUUAAUAGCCACAUUUGUUGUCACUUUAUCAGCCUAUAAAUAGAGGCUUGAACUUGUGUUGUAAAGGAAGAAAAAUGAGAAGAAAAAAGAAAUAAGAGAAGCAACGUGAGUGAGAGUGAGAAGGUUAGCAAACCUUGAGUGAGUUAAAAUCUAGCAGCAGCUAGACUAUCUAGUCAUUGAGAAAAUAUUUGUAAUCUUCGUAUUGUAAUAUAUUGAGUGUGUAAUAAAAAAGUAAAUUUUCGGCCCAUCACGUUUCCAACAAGUGGCAUCAGAGCUACGGUUCGGAGCUUGGUUCGGAGUUCGGUUCGUGUCCGGUUCGUGUCCAGUUCGGAGUACCUUUGGUGUUCAUCUAACAAGUCGAUAUGGGCGACGUAAUUCAGCUACAAGUUCCACAAUUGACGAAGACAAAUUAUGGAAAUUGGAGCAUUCGAAUGAAGGCUUUGCUCGGUUCGCAAGAUUGUUGGGAGAUCGUUGAAAAAGGAUACAUCGAGCCCGGAGAUGCCGCUACAGAAGCAGCUUUAUCAAAUGACGCUAAGAAGGCGUUACGAGAAGCACGAAAGAAGGAUCAAAAGGCCUUGAAUAGUAUCUUUCAAGGAAUGGAUGAAUCAACCUUCGAGAAAAUAUCAGAUGUGAAGAACGCGAAGAAUGCAUGGGAGAUUUUGCAAAAAUCAUUUCAAGGUGUAGAAAAAGCUAAAAAGGUACGCCUUCAGUCACUUAGAGCUGAAUUUGAAAUGUUAAAAAUGAAGAGCUCCGAGAAUAUCGAUGACUAUGCCAAUCGUGUAAAAUCGGUGGUAAAUGAAAUGAAACGAAAUGGAGAAAAGCUUGACGAUAGAGGAGAGAAGUGUAUCUUUAUAGGCUAUGACAAAAGAAGUAAGGCCUACAGACUUUAUAAUCCUCUUACUAAGAAAUUGAUUAUCUCAAGAGAUGUCGAGUUCGAUGAAGCGGAUUACUGGAGAUGGAGUGAAGAAGAAAAGAAAGUGGAAGGAUUAUUUUUCAACGAAGACGACAAUAACCAAGAAGAACAAGGCGAUGAUCAAAGUCCUGGUACAACAGCCCCUUCGUCACCAACCAGCAGCAGCGGAAGCAGCAGCUCAGAUGAAGCACCCACAAGAACACGGAGUCUCAACGACAUCUACAAUUCUACGGAACCUGUAGAGACGCAGUUCGAUUAUUCACUAUUCUGUCUAAUGACAGAAUGUGAUCCAGUGACAUACGAAGAAGCAAUUGAAAACAAUAAAUGGAAGAAGGCCAUGGACGAGGAGAUUGCUGCAAUAAGAAGGAAUGACAUGUGGGAGCUAACAAGUCUGCCAGAAGGACAUAGCCCGAUUGGUGUCAAGUGGGUGUACAAGACGAAGACCAACAAAGAAGGAAAAGUAGAGAAAUACAAGGCAAGACUAGUCGCCAAAGGCUACAAGCAAAGACAAGGAGUGGACUAUGAUGAAAUAUUUGCUCCAGUCGCAAGAAUAGACACAAUUAGGCUUCUCAUAGCGGUCGCAGCACAAUACAAAUGGAAAAUCUAUCAGAUGGACGUCAAGUCUGCAUUCCUGAAUGGCUACUUGGAAGAGGAAGUCUACAUAGAACAACCACCUGGAUAUAGCAUACAAGGAAAGGAGGACAAAGUCUACCGAUUGAAGAAAGCUUUGUAUGGAUUGAAGCAAGCCCCAAGAGCAUGGAACACAAGGAUCGACGAGUACUUCCGAAGAAAUGGAUUCAUCAAAAGCCCGCACGAGCACACCCUGUACACAAAGAAGAAUGGAUAUGGAGAUAUCAUGAUCGUAUGCCUAUAUGUGGAUGACAUGAUCUUCACUGGAAACAAUCCAGGUAUGUCUGAUGAUUUCAAGAAAGCUAUGACUAAAGAAUUUGAAAUGACAGAUAUCGGUGAGAUGUCAUACUUUCUUGGAGUCGAGGUGAAACAAAUGCAAGAUGGAAUUUUUGUCUCUCAAAAGAAGUAUGCGGAGCAGAUUUUGAACAAGUUCAAAAUGAAGGAUUGCAAGCCAGUAGUCACGCCAGCUGAUCCAGGGAUGAAGCUAAGUGUUGAUUCGACAAGGGAGUCGAUAAAUCCGACGUUGUUUAAAAGUCUCGUUGGAAGUUUAAGGUAUUUGACAAUCACACGACCAGAUAUUACAUAUGCAGUAGGAUUGGUGAGCAGAUUCAUGGAGAAGCCGAAGCAAGACCACUUAAUUGCCGCAAAAAGAAUUUUGAGAUAUAUCAAAGGUACGAUGAACCAUGGUUUAUUCUAUACCCACUCACAAGAUUCAAAAUUAGUUGGCUACUCAGAUAGCGAUUAUGGGGGAGACUUGGAUGAUCGGAAAAGCACUUUCGGAUAUGCAUUCCACAUCAGUUCCGCAGUUUUUUCAUGGUCGUCAAAGAAGCAACAAACAAUUGCUCUCUCAACAUGUGAAGCAGAGUAUAUGGCCGCAGCAACUUGUACAUGCCAAGCAAUGUGGUUGAAGAAUAUUUUGGGAGAAAUAGGUGUUUCAAAUGAAGGUCCAAUUACCAUCUACGUUGACAACAAAUCCGCUAUAUCACUUGCCAAGAAUCCGGUGUCGCACAGCCGAAGCAAGCACAUCGAUACGAAGUAUCAUUUUAUCCGAGAGCAAGUGAAAAACAAAAACAUGGAGUUGGUCCAUUGCAGGACAGAAGAUCAACUGGCAGAUAUUUUCACAAAGCCGUUGAAAGUGGAGACAUUCAACAAAUUCAAAGAGAAGCUCGGUAUGAAAGUUGGGUUUGAGGGGGAGUGUUAGAAAUCAAACCCACUCCAAGCAUAAUCUAGAAGCAUGAGACGUGGAGCAAUUUUGUGCCAUGCAAAGUGCUGAAAUUUUAGCCAUACAAAGUGCUCCAUUAUUGAGAUGUUUUGUGGCUGGAAAUUAAGUGGAUUAAUAGCCACAUUUGUUGUCACUUUAUCAGCCUAUAAAUAGAGGCUUGAACUUGUGUUGUAAAGGAAGAAAAAUGAGAAGAAAAAAGAAAUAAGAGAAGCAACGUGAGUGAGAGUGAGAAGGUUAGCAAACCUUGAGUGAGUUAAAAUCUAGCAGCAGCUAGACUAUCUAGUCAUUGAGAAAAUAUUUGUAAUCUUCGUAUUGUAAUAUAUUGAGUGUGUAAUAAAAAAGUAAAUUUUCGGCCCAUCACGUUUCCAACAAAUGGCGUCUGAAAAUAUGGAAUCAAGUACCUCCAGAUUGAUGCCAUAUACGUUUAUGAAUGGCUUUUCCCCAUUACGGGUCGAUUUGCAAGUUACUCUAAACCAAGAAUGAGUAUAGCAGCUGCUAUGGAUUCCAAAAGGGGAUGGAAUUGUAAUAUUCCCACAUACUUCUUUACCACAGGCAGGUUCUCGAGAUUCUGCUGCUUGUGAAAUUGGGCAUAACAGGAAGAGGAAGAGGAGUAGGAGGAUGAAGUAAAGCGCUAACUGAAAACCCAUUUGCGUUGUUAUUUUGUUUGAGGGAAAUGAAUGAAGAUUUAGAUUGGGUUAAUGAAGAACUCAUUAAUAGAUUUUGUGGAAAUUAAAUUAAAACAAAGGAGGUAUCAUUAUCAACAACUAUGGACCAUAAGCAGAUUCAUUCCUUUUAUUAUAUAUUAUUCAUACUAACAACAUAGAAAUUUCCAUGAAAAAGUAAGGUCCAUGACAUCCACGGAAGCAACGACAACAAUCUGCCCCUAUAACAAUUGCAAAAAUACCUUGACUCCUCUAGAAAUCCGUCAGUUUGGAAACUGUAACGUUUAUGCUAUAACCAAAUAAACAUUUUAGAAAUAUCUGCUCUCCAAAGUCAUGUUUGUUUAUCUUCAAUUUCGUCCUUAUAUAAACAAAACUCCAACAUAUAGAAAAAGAAAUGAUAGCCCUUGAAAUCCUUAAUAUCCAAACCAUAUUUAUGCAUAAGGAAUUUGCAUAGGAGACGAGAAAAUGGAAUCUGAACUUAAUGGGAAAUUUCGUCACAGUCAAGCUAAAGUUUAACAAUUUAGGAUCUUUUAUCUAUAUGGUGUUCCACUUUUAUGUAUAUUUCCAAGUUUUUCAAUAUGAAGUCGGUUCAACGAAAAGGAAAUUACUUUAAAUUUUUAUAAUUAAUUGGAUUCAAAAAUAUUUUUUAAUAAUUUGGUAUGCGUAUACUUUCACAUAACUUCUUAUGAAUCUCACAUAACACAUUAUAUGUCAAUUUCACAUGAAUUUCGUAAACCAUGUUAAAAUGGAAUAUGUCCACCACCUGCUUAAAUUGAAUUAUUAUAUAACUUAUCCAUUGCUUAGCAAAGGUUGUAUUGCCUACACUUUGGUUCAUCAUGUCCCCACCCGACCCAUUUUAGAUGUUCAUUUUACUAUUUACUUUGAAAAAGAUUAAUAAUCAUCCUAUAUAUUUAUUAAUGUUUUGAAAGAAAAUUCUGUCUAUCCAAUUUAUUGAUGAUGCAUAAAAAUAAUUCCUUAAAAUUUUACUAAUGUAUUUUAAAAAUAAUUCUUUUUGUACAUAUUAUAAAUGUGAAAGGGUACGAAACUCAUGUUUGAAGUCAUGCUAACUCAAUCACUUACUAAAACCAAAUUAAAGCAAUUAAUUUUACAAUAGUGGCCAUAUGGCACUUUUUAAUUUCACUUCUAAUAUUUAAAAGUGAAGUCUUUUCUUUCUACAAGGUGAAGCUAGAAGGUAGGAGAUAGCAUAGAGUGUUAGCCUCUUGCCCAAAAUAAAAGACAUUAUCCCUAAUGAGUGAUAGCAAAGGUGAUUGUGUUGGAUCUUUCAGCAUAAACAAAAGAAAAAUCGAAUGAAGCAAAAAGAAGAAACUGAAAAUGAAAACUCAGCAAGAAAUGUAACUGAAAGUCAUCAUUUUUUUCAUUCAAAUUUGAAUAUAUGAAGGUUACAAAAAAAAUGUUUGACAGUUACCUACUAACUUAACUGCCCUUACUUAAUACAUACUAAAAUGAUGCAAGUUGAUUACAAAAGAAAGCUGGCAUACCAGCUUUUACAUCAGUCAAUCUUUCCUACUAACUUAGCUAACUCAUUACAAAGAUUUGGACUAAGUUCCAUAGGAACAAAACAUUCAAAAAGUAAUUCUAUAACUGAACCAAUUUCAUUUCUUUGCUACAAAACAGUAUAGCAGCUAAACUUAUACAAUUUGCUGCUGCUGGUCUGUUGAUCAAUUUGUUGCUGUUGGUCCUCUGUUGCACUGCAGGCCAUGGGUUUAACACUCCUCCUUGGACUGUAUGCAACAAACACCAAUCUUUUCUUUCAAGACAUUAAAUUGGUUGGCUCCCAAUGGCUUGGUUAAAAUGUCAGCCAAUUGAAUUUCUAAACUGCAAUGGACUAAGCUAACCUCCUUCGAUUGCUCAACUUCUCUAACAAAAUGGAAUUUAAUUUUGAAGUGUUUAGUCUUACCAUGGAAGAUUGGAUUUUUGGCUAUGGCCAUAGCUGAUUGAUUAUCCACCCUGAUUUCAGUAGGCUGAGCUUGACUUUCAUUCAAAUCAUCCAAAAUCUUCCUAAGCCAAAUGGCUUGAUUCACUGCUACUGCAGCUGAGAUAUACUCAGCCUCUGCUGCGGAUUGAGCAACAGUUUGUUGCUUCUUUGAGCUCCAGCUAAAAACACUUGAGCCUAAAGUAAAGAAGUAACCUGAAGUGCUCCUCAUGUCAUCAAUUGACCCUGCCCAAUCACUAUCAGAGUAGCCAACAAGUUUCAGCUCCUUUGUCCUCCAAAACUUCACACCAGCAUCAAUGGUUCCUUUGACAUACCUUAACACCCUUUUUGCUGCCUUUAAAUGAGCCAUGUUACUGCAAUGCAUAAAUAUUGAAAGAAAACUAACAGCAUAGACAAUGUCUGUUCUAGUUGCUGUCAAAUAAAAUAAGCAGCCAAUUAAGCUUCUAUAUGCUUUCUCAUCUACUCGAUCAUGCUCACUGGUACUUGACAACUUCUCCCCUAAUGCAACAGGUGUAGUAACUGGUUUGCAUUUCAGCAUGCAAAAUUUCUCCAGCACCUUGGAAGCAAAUGUCUGCUGACUUAUAAAAAUACCAUCACUUCCUUGUUUUAUUUCCUUGCCAAGAAAAUAGGUCAUCAUACCAAGAUUAGUCAUUUCAAAGACUUCUUGCAUCUGUUUCUUGAAGUCUUCUAUAAGUUCAUCUUUGCAGGCAAUGACCAGCAGAUCGUCAACAUACAAGGAAACAAUUAAUAAGGUUUCCUUCUGAUCCUUCUUAACAUAGAGUGUAGGCUUACUGACACUCUUAGUGAAUCCGAGCCUAGCUAAGUAGCCAUCAAUCCUUUCAUACCAGCCCUUGGAGCCUAUUUUAGGCCAUAUAAGGCCUUUUCAACUUGUAGACUUUCUGUUCUUCACCAGAGACCUUAAAACCCUCAGGUUGCUCUAUGAAAAUUGCUUCAUUAAGAAAGCCAUUUAGAAAGGCUGACUUAACAUCUAAAUGAUGCACCUUCUAGUGCUUUUGAGCUGCCAAAGCAAGCAGCAAUUUGAUAGUAUCCAGCCUUGCAACAGGUGCAAAGGUUUCAGAAAAAUCAACCCUUUGCUGCUGACUAUACCAUUUAACAACCAGCCUGGCUUUAUGUCUGUUCAGAGAGCCAUCUGCAUUGUUCUUAAUUCUAUAGACCUAUUUCACACCUAUGAUUUUUCUAUUUUCAGGUCUAUUGACAAGCUCCCAAGUGUCAUUCUUCUGAAUCAUUCUAAACUCAGCUUCACUAGCAUCUUGCCAGCAUCUUUCUCUUGCAGCUUCAUCAAAGCAUGAAGGCUCUACCAGAGUUACUGCAUAUCUUUCAUAGAUGUUUGCUAGUGUCCUGGUGCCUCGAACAGGUUCAUCAUUAUAGCCAUCUUCAGUUAUUGCUUCAUUUUUAGCUUGCUGCAAAUCAACAUCAAUCUGAUCUGCCUCAGGCAAAUUUGCUUCAAUUCCAUCCCAUUUCCAGCUACUUCCUUCACUGAAUUUUACAUCCCUGCUCACUAUAAUCUUCUUGGUCAGUGGAUCAAAAACUCUAUAUCCCUUCUUUACACUACUGUAACCAAUAAACACCCCUGGCAUGGACCUCCUAUCCAACUUAGUUCUUUUCUCCUCAGGUAUCAACACAUAACAUAGGCAACCAAACACCUACAAGUGUGAGACAGAUGGUUUCUGCCCAAACUAGGCUUCAAAGGGAGUUUUACCCUUAACUGCACUAGUUGGUAGCCUAUUCAAUAGAUAAACAGCUGUAUUCACAGCUUCAGCCCAAAAAACAUUAGGCAUUUUAGCCUCGAACAAUAGACACCUAGCCAUGUCAAGGACAGUUCUAUUUUUUCUUUCACAGACACCAUUUUGCUGUGGUGUGUCCACAGUAGUCAACUGGUGUUGGAUUCCAACAUCAUCACACAAUUUUUGAAACUUCUGAGAUACAUACUCAGAUCCAUUGUCAGACCUUAAGCAUUUUAGUUUACAAUUUGCUUGGUUUUCAACCAAGGCUUUAAAUUUGCAGAAAGAAUCAUAAACAUCUGACUUAUGCUUUAAAAAAUUCACCCAACAGAACCUUGAAUGAUCAUCAAUGAAGAGUACAAAGUACCUGCUGCCAUUUAAAUAGGUAGUCUUCAUAGGUCCACAGAUGUCUGUAAGAACUAGCUGAAGCUUUUCUUGUGCUCUCCAUGCCUUGUUGACUGGAAAGGGUAAUCUGGUCUAUUUGCCUAGCUGACGGAUCUCACACACAACAUCUUUUGGCUCAAUUUUAGACAUGUCACUGACCAAAUCCAUCUUAUGCAUCAUACUUAGUGAAUUGUAGUUCACAUGCCCCAUCCACCUGUGCCACAAGUCUGUCUCAUCAGACUGAGAUGCAUAUGCCUUAGCCUGAAGCUGAUUUACAUCUACUAUGAAGGGUCUGUCUUGCAUAGCCACUGUGGUUAACACUUCUCCAGCAACAUUUUUAAUCAAAUAGUUUCUGCCUUCAAAAAUAAGGGAGUAGCCCUUCUCCAACAGCUGGCCAACACUUAGCAAGUUUUGGUCAAUGUCAGGUACAUAGAGAACCUCUGAAAUGGUUUUAAUACCUAAAUUAGUGCUUAUCAAAGCCUUGUCUUUCCCUUUUGCCUCCAGCAGCUCUCCAUUGCCAAUUCUGACUUUGAACUUGAAAGUGGUGUCAAGCUCCUUAAAUAUGCUCUUCUCAGAAGCCAUAUGGUGGGUACAUCCACUGUCAAUUAGCCAACUUUUGCUAACUUUGCUUGAGCUUGCAAAGCAUGAUGCUGAAAAAACAUGCUCUUCUUGUGUUUCAACUUCUUCUACUACAUGAGCUUGGUUUUGAUACUGUGGUUGUGCUUUUGGUUUGUUUUUACAAACUUUUUCAAUGUGGCCAAAUUGCUUGCAGGCUCUACAUUGAAUAUUUGGUCUAUACCAGCAGUAUUUCUCAAGGUGAGUAGUCUUCUUGCAAUGGACACAAGGUGGGAACUUCUUUCUGGCAGGUUCUCUAUUCUUCUUCUCAGUCCAAGGCUUAUUGCCUUUGACAUUCAAGUUUGAACUUGAGCAUUCUCUGCUUCUAGCCUGAAAAGCUCCUUCAUAGUGGUCUUCUUGCCUAUUUGCCCUUCUUUGCUCUUGAGCAUAAAGAGCAUUUAUGAGCUCUGUCAAAGGGAUUGUUGACAAGUCUCUUGAAUCUUCCAGAGAAGAAAUUUUUGCUUCAUACUUCCCUGGCAAGGUUGUUUUGACUUUCUCAACCACUCUUUGAUCACUAAAUUCUUCCCCAAGCAGCCUUAUAUUGUUGACAGUAGCCAUGAUUCUGUCAGCAUACUGCUUGAUGGUUUCUGAGUCCUUCAUCUUCAGGUUUUCAAAGUCUCUUCUCAAGUUGAUCAGCUGUUGUUGCCUGGUCUUGUCAGACCCCUGAAACUUCUCCUUGAGUUUGUCUCAGGCCUAUUUUGGAGUGUCACAGGCCAUUAUCAUUGUGAAAAUAACAUCAGAGACUCCACUUUGAAGGCAUGACAUAGCCUUGUAUUUCUUGGCACAGUCUUCACUAUGCUGCCUGAUCUGAGCUAUGGUCGGGUUAGCUUUUAAUGGUGGUGGCUCAGUGUCAUUGAGAACAACAUUCCACAGGUCAUGUGCCUGCAGGUAUGUUCUCAUUUUCACUGCCCAGAUGUUGUAAUUUUCUCCAGCAAAGACCGGUGGAGGAGGUGGUGAAAAACUCAUUUACAGCAACCAAAAAACAACCUCUUCUUCUUUGUUUUAAGCACUGCUUGCCUGUUGACAGUGUACAACCAAGGCCCUUAAAGACUGAAAGCUCUCGAUACCAUUUCUUGGAUCUUUCAGCAUAAACAAAAGAAAAAUCGAAUGAAGCAAAAAGAAGAAACUGAAAAUGAAAACUCAGCAAGAAAUGUAACUGAAAGUCAUCAUUUUUUUCAUUCAAAUUUGAAUAUAUGAAGGUUACAAAAAAAAUGUUUGACAGUUACCUACUAACUUAAUUGCCCUUACUUAAUACAUACUAAAAUAAUGCAAGUUGAUUACAAAAGAAAGCUGGCAUACCAGCUAUUACAUCAGUCAAUCUUUCCUACUAACUUAGCUAACUCAUUACAAAGAUUUGGACUAAGUUCCAUAGGAACAAAACAUUCAAAAAGUAAUUCUAUAACUGAACCAAUUUCAUUUCUUUGCUACAAAACAGUAUAGCAGCUAAACUUAUACAAUUUGCUGUUGCUGGUCUGUUAAUCAAUUUGUUGCUGCUGGUCCUCUGUUGCACUGCAAGCCACGGGUUCAACAGAUUGUUCUUUGAGAAGAAAUUUUCAAGAAUGUCACUCUUGACCCUGUCCGAUGACAAGAGGCUCCACAUUAUUUAUAGCCAUUCAACGUAUAAGGAGAAUUAGGGCGAGUUUGGAUGGGCGGUGCAUUUACUUGCGGUUAGUGUAAAAACAGCGGUGGCGGUGAGAUUAGAUAAUGUAGUGAUACUGUAGCAUGAAACAAAAAGUAAGCUAAACGCACCGCUCCGCUCCCAAUCGCCCAUCCAAACCCACCCUUAGUAUCACAAGUACAAGAAUAAUUUCCAUCACAACUGAACAAAAUACUUCCAAGUCAUAUUCUUUUGUGGAAAGGUAUUCUCAAUAGAAAAGUAUAUCCACGAAAUGAUAGAAAAGGCUUUGGCCACAAUUAAAUCAACACCUUUAAAUAGUUAUACGAAAUUAAAAAUGGAAUCGUCAAUGUCAUGACAUCAUCAUCUUAUAACUUUAUACUCUAAAGAAAAUUUUGUUAAUUAAUUACUACUUUAAUUAUCGAUAAUUUUGCUAAUUAUUUUUAAAUUUGUACUUAAUACACCAGCACCAUGUUUGGCGUGUUUCGUUUCUACGACUUAUGAUUUUCCAAUUAUUUUUGAAUGAAAGUUUUGCUUUCACGAUAAAUUGCAAUUUUGCAUUAAAAUAAUAUUAAAAAAUCCCCCAUCUGUUGCAACAUUGAACAGUGAGAUGGUUGCCUGAGAUUUUCUAUGUAUGAAAAGAAACAAGCAAGAAAUUAGCGAGGCAGGUACUCAAGUAUAUAUCUUUAGCAAGAAAAACUAACAUAGGAAUUCUCCAAUUUGAUCCACUAUUGUGUUUUCUUUUUAUGGGAAGAACAUUAAUCAUUGUGCCCUAGUUACUUCCAUAAAUUUUUGCUUCUUUAAAAAUAAGAAGAAGAAGAAAGAAAGAAAAACAUCAACUUUAGUCCUACAAUGAACUCGUAUAAAUUCGUUAGUCCUGAAACUAUGACUUAAUACAACUGAACCUUUAGAAAAAUAUGGCCUCAUCCUUAACCAUUUCCCUUAUUCUAGGGAUACUGUAGGCUACCAUCCUUCUAAUUUCAUCUGAUACAUCCUCAAUAAUACUCCUAGGAUAUCUGAUUGAUUUAUUCGCUAAUUGAAUACUCAUCCUAGUAUGUUCGGGUUUCCCGAGACCAAGUUGUUUAAACAUCUUGUAGGGCAUCAUAACAUUUAUGCUAGCCCUUAAAUCAGCUAGAACAUUUUCAAUAUUUAAACUACUAAUAAGACAAGGAAUAGUAAAACUCCCUAGGUCUUUAAGUUUGUUGGGUAAUUUAUUUUGGAGAAUGACCGAGCAAAAUGCAUUGAGCUCCACAAUCGAUGAGUCGUCUAAUUUCCUUUAAUUUGUUAACAACUCCUUUAAAAUUUUUAUAUAAUUUGGUAUCUAUGGAAGAGCUUCAACAAAUGGUAAAUUAAUAUGCAAUUUUAUAAUAUCAUGUACAUGAUUAAUAUUAGUGUAUUUAUAUAUUCAUUUAAUUAAAUUGGGCUCAUUGACUCUCAUUAUAUCUCUUCAAAUACACUAUAUGCUUAGAAAUUUCGAAGAAAGAUGAAAACAAUGUUAUGGACAAUUUCAUCGAAAUUAAGCCAAAGUUUUCCAAUUAAGAACCUUUCGUGGAAAAUUUGACAUUUGAAUAAUCAUCACAUACAAUCUUUAUUUAUAAGGUGUUCCACAUUUGCAUAUAAUAUAUUUCCAAUUUGGUCCAAAGAAAAGGGAAGAUAUUUUAAAAGUGCGUAAUUUUGAAUUCAAAGCUUAAUAUAUGUAAUUUAUGCUUAAUCCUUUCAAUAUUUAUGUGUGAAGCAAACUUAUCAAAUAUAAAAACAAUGUCUCUUUCAUAACUACAUGGGAUAGCCUGAUGGUCAAAAGUGUUCACCGCCUCAAGCAUGGUCUAAAUUUGAGCUGUUAUUGUAAUUCAAAAGAAGAAAAAAACAAUGUUUUCAUCAAUUUGCAUAAAGAAAACACUAAGCCAAACCAUUUAGAAAGGAGGGAACGAUGCUCGUGGCCUGAGUUUUAUUCUGGGUGUUUAAAACUCUUAAAUUGUCUUUGAUAAUUUCAUUCGUUUUGGUUUAUUAUUUUUAUACUAAGGUUAGUUUGGGGUAUUUGCACUUAUUUUAAUUUUAUUAAUUUUAAAUAUUAUUUGAUAAAAUUUCCAAUUGUUUUUAUAAAUAUUUUUAAAUAAAAGUAUUCAAUAACUUUUUAAAUACAUAUAAUUUUUAAGUUAUUUACAUUAUUUUUUAUAUCAUACAAAUUAAAUUAAUUUAUAUAAAUUAAAAGGAUAAAUCACUUUUUAACCCUUAAACUUAGUUGCUUUUCUCAAGUUGAUAUCUAAUGUUUUUGGAUCUAAGUUGGUACUUGAACUUAUAUUUUAGGUAACAUUUUCCUCAUUUUUUGUAUCAAUGUUAAAUUAUGUUGACAUACAUUUUAAGAUUUGUGCCAUGUUAUCACUUUAAAUUUUAUUUAAAUUUGAAAAUAUUAAAUAAUAAUAAACAAUUAUUUAAAUAUAAAAAAUAAAACUAUAAAAAUUAUAAACCUUUAUUAAAAAUUAAAAAUAUGAAUAAUUAUAAUAAAUCUAUUUGAAAAUCUUUUUAAUUAUUUUUCUUUUUACUUAGGAUUUUUUAUUCCUUUAUAAUUAGUUAUACAACAAUUAUGAUAAUACUCUAAAAUGACAUACUUUUAUGUGUUAAUUACAUAUAUAUUUUGAGUACGAUCCUACUAAUUUGGGUCAUUUAUGGUUUUUUUAUCUUGUAGGAACUAAAUUGAAGGCAAAAAGAAAUUUGGGAACAAAAAGCGAGAAUUUAAAGACAAAACGAGUCAGUAUGCGAAAUAGGGAAGAAAUUGUGCCGAAAAUACAAAGUGUAGAAGACUUGGGGCAAAAUUUCAAAGAAGAGAUUUAUGAACAUAAGACUUUGUUUAAAUUAAAAUUUUAUUUUUAAGAUUAUUGUUAGGAUUAUUAUAUUGUUUAGAUUUAAUUUCAAAUUAUAUCUCUUAAAUAUUAUCAUCUAAGUUUAAAUAGGAACAAACUGGGUUCUUUCAUGUACUAUAAAUAGGGAAUGGGGUGACAUGAAUAUCCACUCAUCAUUUUUGAAAAAAACUCAUUCUCCCUAAGGCUCCUAGCCUUUUUGUUUCUUUUUCAAUAAAUUCCAUUUCAUUAAAACUAGUGUUUUUUUUUUCCAAAAAGCAUGAAUAACUAAACUCAUCCAGUCAAAGGUUAUCAAGACUCCUCCAAAAGAGUUCAUGAGGCUUAGAACCCGCACUUAGCCCUUCUUAACGAGUGUUCAUCAUUUCUCUGCAUUACAGGACUGACGCUUCCGUCCAUGUCCUUCCAAAAUUAAUCUUUUCAUCUUGUGCAAAGACAACCGCUUUGUAUGUUUUGGGAAGGUUACACAGUCAGUUCACUAACUUACUACGUCAGAGGUAGUCGAGCCCAAGAGAUGAAAUGGUGCGACAUUCAUCAUUGAGAAAUAAUGAUCUAGUGUAAGACAGUCCCACAGAAGUGACGGUUGGCUAGAGUCAGGUUCCACUAGACCGUAAGGCUAUAACCGAAGAGGAGCUAGUGGUCGUAGGCAUCCUCUUCCACUAUAACUUACCUAUUCAGUCAUGAGAAGGAUCACCUAAAAGCCUAUGAUUGAACCAAAGGAGGAUCGAGAUAACUAGAGGCUGGAACCCCUCAAUCGGAAAGCCCAUUUUUCUCAAUUCUACUUCUUAUCACAAUUAUGAUUUCAAUCUGUCAAAACCACUUUUAGAUAAAAGGGAUCGACUUUUAAAAAUAAAAUAACAAAAUAGUAGUCACCGCCGAUCUUUUGUUAAGAUGUGAUCGGAUCACCUUGAAAACGAUUUUGGUCUACGAAAUUUAAAAAAAUAGGUCCGGGAGUCGAUUACUCACAAGGAAGGGUUAGCACCCUCGUAACGCCCAAAAUUGAUACCUAAUUGAUUAAUUAAUGUCUUAAAGUCGAAUGAUAAAAAUCCGAAAAGAUUAAAAAUGAUUCCCCUUUUUAUUAAUGCCAAUUUUUAAAACAACCUUUGAAUAAAUUUGAAAUAGUAUGUAAAAAACUCUCUUGUCUCGAGGCAACAAAAUGUCGUAUCGCAUAAGUUAGGAUGCAAUAUUUGAAUUCUCGAGCAUAAGCUAACCUUUAAAAAUUUAAUUGAAAUCUCAUGUAUUUGAAACCAAAAAAUAUCUAGCCAUUUUGGCUCGAUGAGAAAAUCGAAACCCCGUAAGUUAGGGUACGAUUUUUCGAGGUUCCAAAGAUGACAUAUAAUCUCGCCUUUAUUCUAGAAAAAGAGAAGAUCCUUGUCUCGAGAUAACAAAAUAUCAUAUCCAAUGAGUUAGGAAACAACAAAUUGAAUUCUCGAGAAUAGGUUUUUAUUUGAAAUUUUACGUUUUGAUUUAAAAAGGAAUACUAGGUUUCUUAAAUCUAACAAAGAAAAUUAAAACCCAGUAAGUUAAGGCGCAAUCCUCUUGAGGACCCCAAAUUCCAAGUAUUGUGUUAUUUUUGAAAACCUUUGUAUAAAAUAACUUUGAUACUUAUAUUAAACGUAAUCUUUUGAACGAAUAAAAAACGAUGGAAUAAUAAUUUACAACGCAAAAUGAUGAUUCGUAAAUCAAAAUGUACACUAAUGAAUGACAAACAAUCAAUAAAUAGAAAUAAACAAUACAAUACACAUAAUAGUAAGAAUCUCAUAUCAUAUGUUGGGUGAAUACCAAUAUUAAAAGCUAAAGAAUUAAAAGGAAUAUUAAGCAAAUUAACACAACCAAAGUAUAACAAGUUUUAAAAUAAAAAAUGAAUAAUGAAUAACAUGAAAAAAAAUAUCUAUAUAUAAACAAUAAAUUACAUGCAUACAAUUUCAAAAUAAACAAUAUACGAGUUUGAAAUAGAUCAAAAAUGAAGAUAAAAUGAAUACUAUGUGAAAUGAUAAUAUCCAAAUGAAUUUUAAAGUAAAUAUUGUAUAUAAAAAAACAAAUCAAAAUAUGUAAAAUAAAAAUAAUAAUAUAUAUAUUAAUCUAAACAAAUAAUACAUAUGGAAUGAAAAGUUUAACAAUAACAUAAAUAAUAAUAUAUAACAAUAUAUGUAAAAAGUUGAGAUAGGUAAAAUAUAAUAAAUAGUUUUUUUUUAAAAGAAAUAAAUUAUAUAUAUAUAUGAGAAUGAGAAAAAAAAUGGAAUCAAUAAUGUAUCAUAUAUGUAUGUAUGUAUAAUAUACAUUGUGUAUAUACAUAUAAAAUAUUAUUAUAUAGGAAGAUUAUUGUAUAAAUCAUUAAAACAUAGCAAUAUAGAAGAAAAUUUUAAAGGUAUAUUAUAAAGUAAAACUAUAAGAAAAAAUUGUGUACAAAUAAUAUUGAAUUUAUAUAAAAAUAUAUAAAAUAAUACAUGAUAAAUUUAAAUAAAAAUACAUGAUAAACUUAAAAUAAUGUUAAUAAUAAAUUUAAAAUAAUAAUAUAUUAUAAAUUAAAAUAGUAUUAAUGAUAAAUUUAAAAAUAUAUUAAACUUAAGCAUAAAAAGAAGGUUAGAUUUAAAAAAUAAAUAUAUCUAAAAAAUAACAGAAUAAUGAAUUUUAAACAAAAUAAAAAUCAAGGAUAUUAAAUUAAAUAAGUAUGGAUUAAGUUGUAUUUAAUUCGAAAUUAAAAGAAAAAAAUGAAAAUAAAGCAGAAUUGAGGACCAAAAAGGAACACGCGAUUAACAUGGGGAUUAAAGAGGAAAAUAUUCCAAUCCCCAAAACAUAGCAUUUCAUCAUGGACCAAAAUGAAAUUAACAGGAAAUUAUGUGGCCACAAUUAAAGAAAUAAAAUGGACCAGAUUGAACCACAGCACAAAGGCGAAGGGACCUGGCGCACAAAUAUCCCUCCCAAUACCAAAACGCGCGGAUCUAGUCGCAUUUGGGCCGGGUGAUCGGGUCGCUGGUCAGAACGGUGCCGUUUUAGAACCACUGAAACAAGGUCUAAACGGCACCAUUUCAAUAAUUUGCAUAAAACUAAAAAAACCCUAAAUGUUCCUUUAGCCGCUUUAACACAAAUCAACAAAACCCUCAGCCACUCGGUUGCCUCACCGUUCUCGGUCCCCCCAUCCGAACUCCGAUCGCGAUGGAGUGAACGGGAGUUCAAGGCACUACCACAAAAGGUAAAUCCCCUAUCCCUUAUUCGUUCUCCUUUUUACAUACAUCAAAUAUAAUAAACUGAGAGUCAAAGAAAUUAAAAAUAAUAAUAAUCUAAAAAUGAAAUCAUGAAAUCACCUUUCAAAAACUUUGAUUUUGUAUUCCUUUGUUAAUUCAAUGUUUUUUAAAAUUUGAAGGGAAGAAUACAUGAAUUGGGGGCCCUCAUUUUAUAGCCUGAAAAGCGUUUCUUUUCUUUAUUUUCUCUAAUUUCUUAUUUUUCUGUUAUUUGUUUCUAGUUUGUUCUUUUAUAGGUGCGAGGCCAUACGGUGAUGUGGCGCGGUACGUGGCGUGGCGGAGGUGGCACAGAAGGCGGUGCAUUGUUUGGCUGUUGUUGUGGCGUCUGGACCUAGGCUGUUAGGGUUUAACUGGGUCUAGGAUUGGGUCUGAUGGCUAUGUUGCGCUUGUUAGGGUUUUUAAUUUUAAUUUGGGCUGAUUUUUUUUUUUGGUAAUUGAACUUUAAUUGUAAAUCGACCUUAUUAUUUUGGCUUUAGGCUCUAAUUGGUUUUGGUUUGUAAUGUAAAUGGACUAGACAUUAUUUUAUUUUAUUUAGUUUUAUUUUAAUUUGGUUUUAAUGGGCCCGGGCAAAAUUUGGGUUUUACAACUGCCCCUCUUUGCUUAUUGUCGUGUAACGAGAAUGGAGCAAAGACUUCAAAAAGAUAAAUUUUGCCCAGUCAUGCCGAGUUUUGGCUUCUUGGUACUGCUCCAAUCCACUCUGUCUUGCUGCUUCAAUUCACUCCACUAUAACUUUAUGGAGAUAAGGCUGGUGGCUUUAAUCUGCUCCACUGCAAUGCCAAGGAAAUAAGAUUUGUUGCCUUCAGCUUUAAUCUGUUCUGCUUUAAUCUGUUCCACUUCAGCUUUAAUCUAUUCCACUGCAACGCUAGGAAAAAAAGAUUCACUGCCUUCAGCUUUAAUCUACUACAAUGCCAGAGAAAUAAGAUUAUCUGCCUUCAGCUUUAAGAUGUUCCACUUCAGCUUCAAUCUAUUCCACUACAACACUAAGGAAAUAAGAUUCGCUGCCUUCAGCUUUAAUCUACUGUAACGCCAGGGAAAUAAGAUUCGCUGCGUUCAGCUUUAAUCUAUUCCACUACAACACUAAGGAGAUAAGAUUCGUUGCCUUCAGCUUUAAUCUACUGCAACACCAGGGAAAUAAGAUUCCCUGCCUUCAGCUUUAAUCUGUUCCACUGCAACGGCAAGGAAAUAAGAUUCACUGCCUUCAACUUUAAUCUACUGCAACGCUAGAGAAAUAAGAUUCGCUGCCUUCAGCUUUAAUCUAUUCCACUGCAAUGCUAAGGAAAUAAGAUUCACUGCCUUCAACUUUAAUCUACUGCAAUGCCAGGGAAAUAAGAUUUGUUGUCUUCAGCUUUAAUAUGUUCCACUGCAACGCUAAGGAAAUAAGAUUCGCUGCCUUCAGCUUUAAUCUACUGCAACGCCAAGGAAAUAAGAUUCGUUGCCUUCAGCUUUAAUAUGUUCCACUGCAAUGCCAAGGAAAUAAGAUUCACUGCCUUCAGCUUUAAUCUACUGCAACGCUAGGUAAAUAAGAUUCACUGCUUUCAGCUUUAAUCUGUUCCACUGUAAUGCCAAGGAAAUAAGAUUCACUAUAAUGACUUCAAUCCAUCCCACUGUAACUUCAGCGGUAUAGGAUUUAUGGUUUCACCAAUAUGUUCGCUAGGGAACAUGACCUAUAAAAUCCAUUUCAUGGGCCUAUUCAUGCCUAGUGAUUAGGAUGUAAUGAUUGGAAUGAAAUUAAAAUCUCCUAACUAGAUGUGUAUGAAUGAAUGCAGAAUGCCAUGAAAAUAAUCUCUUAAUGUUUGAGUUGUUAUUGCUCAUUGUUUAUUAAGGCUCCAUCAUUGACAUGUUCUUGUUCGGCUGGUACCUUCGACAAAAGACCCAGAGAAACACUCAAUCAGUUUGCCCCACUAUAACCUCAAGGUUCAACUGUAUUUCUGGGUCAUGAGUCUUGUGCUAUUGAGACCCGGGUAUAAAAUCUGACACUUUUUCCAUCCUCUCCUACUGCAAUUCAAGAGUAUAGGAUGUGAAUAUUCUUCCACUACUUUGGUCAUUUACACCACUCCUAGGGUGUCGUGAUCAAAUGUUUAUGCACAAAUGUAGAAUUUUCUUCUCCAAGAAAAACCUCUUCUUAUUACUCAGUGGUCAUUGCUUGUUUGCUCAUUGAAGCUUUAUCACCGACAUGAUAUUUUGUUGCUUUGUUCAAUCAAUAUUUUGACAGCAAAAUCCAAAGGGAUAGUCUUAAUUUAGACUUUUCCUUCUCAGAUAUUUCCAACCUUUAACCAGGUACGUUCUAAACAACAGUCCUGUUUCAAGUUCUUGUAUUAUUUAGAAACUUCUAGAGUAAUAUACAAAACUUCCUUUGUGAAAGUAUUAUUAGUCCAUUAAUCAUUAUUGCAAUGUAACAUGCUUGCAAAAGAUUAUAACAAUGGAUAAGAAUAGAAUUGAUUUGGAGCAUAGCUCAAAAUGAAUAAAUUACCAAGGAUAAAGAAGAAUAAAAAAGGGAAUUGAUUGGGAACAUGUAUCUUGAAAAGAAUAAAGUAUUCCAAGAAUAGCAAAUUCAAUAUAAAUAGUAUGAAGACUAGAUGCCCAGAUAUCGCAGCUUGAACUUCUCUGUACCAACCUUCUAAAAAACUGUUUUGAAUUUGACAUGUGUUUAGGAGAUCUACAGUACUUUGUCGAUGUCUCAGAUGUUGCAUACCCCUUUCCUGUUAAUUCAAGUAUAGCAAGAUCAUAGCAUGCCCUAUUUUGAUCAAUAUUUGAGCCGCUCUUUUUAGGUUUUCAAGUCAAAUCCCUUUUGGUCUUAGGAUUCCCUUUGCGGGUUUUCACCUUGGCCUCUCUUUUUUUUUAGGACUCAAAGCACCCAUUGCGGGUUUUCACCUUGGUCCCUUCUCCUUUUUUAGGUGAAGUAUUUCUUGACUCAAUUUGAGAGUACAAGAUUUGACAAGUUUUUACCAUCCAUCUUACUCAAAAUCAUUGCUCCUCCAGAAAAGGCCUUCUUUACAACAUAAGGUCCUUCCUAAUUUGGCAUCCAUUUCCCUCUAAAAUUCUUUUGUAGAGGAAGGAUCCUUUUCCACACCAGGUCCCCCUCAUGGAAUUCCCUGGGAUGAACCUUUGUUAUAGGCUCACAUCAACUGUUUUUGGUACAUCUGACCGUGGUGAAUAGCUUUUAGCCUUUUUCCUUCUAUUAGUUUAACUGAUCAUAUCGAGAUUGGAUCCAUUCUGCUUCAUCCAACUUUAACUCAGCCAAUACCCGGAGAGAAGGAAUUUCAACUUUAAUAGGUAAAAUUGCCUCCAUCCCGUAAACCAGAGAGAAAGGCGUUACCCCGGUGGAAGUCCUGAUUGAUAUUCAAUAAGCAAAGAGGGAAAAUGGUAAUUUCUCAUGCCAGUCUUUGUAAGUUUUAGUCAUUUUCUCCACAAUCUUCUUAAUAUUCUUAUUAGCUGCCUCUACCACACCAUUCAUUUUUGGGCGAUACAGUGACAAAUUAUGGUGUCUGAUUUUGAAUUGAUUACAGACCUUAGCUAUCGUGCUGUUGUUCAGAUUCAACGCAUUGCCCGAUAUAAUCCUUUCUGGCAUUUUAUACCAGCAUAUGAUCUUUUUUUUCGAGAAUUUGCUAACUUCUAACUUGGUGACAUUGGCGUAUAAAGUAGCUUCUAUCCGUUUGGUGAAAUAAUUAAUGACCUCAAAAAUAGAGCGAUGCCCAUUAGAAUCCUUCGAUGAUAUCCAUGCCCCACUGUACUCAAAAUUUGAGUUGCCCUUUUCGGGUUUUCAACUCAAACUCCUUUGGUCUUAAAGUACCCUUUGCGGGUUUUUGCUUUGGCCUCUCCUUUUUCUUUUCUUUGUCUUUUUUCUUUUCUUUUUCUUUUCUUUUUUCAUCUUUUUUUUAAAUGUUUUUUUAUUGGAUCUGAACUCAUAGGAUUAGGCAAGUCCUUGUUAUCCCUUUCAAUCAGAACCAAUGUUUUUCUAGAUAAAGUCUUCCACACAAGAUCCUUCCCAUAUUAACAUCCACUUUCAUAUGAAAUCCUUUUGUAUGUGAAGGAUCUUCUUUGAUAUCAGGUUUCUUUCAUAGAACUUUUUGGGGCGAAAUUAUUUUUGGCACAUUUGAUUAUGACGAAAAACUUUGGAUCUUGCUCUUCAAUCGGGAUAACAUCCAAACAAAAACUCGAAGAGAUGGAAACUCGACUUCAAUGGGAAAAGUUGUGAUAAGCCAAAGAGAAAGGCGUUGCCUCGGUAGAGAUUUUUUACUGAAUCGUUCAUGAUGUUAAUCUUGAACAUACUGUAAAUUUUUGAUAUCAUGCUGUUGUUCAAAAUUAAUGCAUUGUCAGAUUAUAAUGUUAGUGCUUAACCCGGGCAUAUCUUGGUAUGAUCAUGCGAAGACAUCUUUAAACUCUUGAAGUAGCUCAACAAGGUCUUGCCUCAUUUCUUUGAUUAUGCAUGUUCUAAUUUUUACUACUUUUCCCUCCUCCAAGGUCACAAUCUCCAUGAGGUAAAAUCUGUUUCUCUUCCUAUUCUACCAUCCUCAACAAGUCCGGAGAUAAGCCACAGUUUAUGUCAUCUUCAAAGUCAUGAGAUCCCUCUAAACAUAUGUCUUAUUUAAAAGGAAAUUUUGAGUUUGUAGCAGCGUCACUCAUGUUCUUGAUAUCCAGGGACCUAUUAUAGGUACCGAAUAAUAUACAAAGAAUGUAUGAUUUUAAGAAUAAUUAUCUGUACAGUAUAUUUACGAAUAAAAUGAAAGAAUAAUUUGGAAAAAAUCCAAAAAGAAUGAAAGAAUAUUUGCUCAAAAUGCAUGUAGAGAUGUAUUUCAUUAAAAUAAUGACGUUCAGACAUGAGCCUAUUUCACAAAGGAGUUCUUAUUGCCUCUAGGCUAAAAGAAACAAGUAUGUUCUAAACAUUACUCUGAGUAAGCUCUAAAAACUACAGAGAUUUCUUCCGCAGUUCAAUUGUUUAACACACUUCCCGAUUCAUAAGGGCGGAUAUCUAACAAGGUCCCUCCUUCAGUUGCUUCUUCGUAUAUAAUAUUGAUGUAAAUGUUUCUCAACAAUUCUUUAAUACUUUCUUCUCUUGGCAUUCUUUACUUUGGAUAAAUAAUCCCUCCCGAUACAAAAGUUUUCGAUAUAUGGGGGAAGUCAUAAGCUUCCAUUCGACCUCAUCCUCGCUCAAAUGUACUCUCCUCCUUUCCUAUUUUUUUCUUUAACUCCUUCCUUCUUUAAUUUGUAUCUAUUUUUGAAGUUGUUCAAGUCUUUCUAAUCUUUGGCCCAUGUCGAUGGUUUUUGCUCGGGUACCGAAACGGUAUUUGGUUGGUAAGUUGGUUUCCAGAUUGACUGAGGAAUGAUUUUAAUCAAUUAGGAUCUUUUAAUAGUCUUUAAUACAUAUGAUGUUAUGUAAUGCAUGAAAUGAAUGCAAAAAGGCACCAAUUCUAAUUCAAUUCCAUUUAGAAAACUUUACUAGAAAACAAAUUUAUUUACAUAAAAUUGGCUACAAAUAAGGCUUUGCCCCAAUGCUCAAAGCUUUAAUCUUCCUAAGUAAUGAAGCUAGUUCUUGCCCCCGAUCUGAUUCAAGUUCGUACUUCACACUCAGCGUAUCGGCUUGUAUUGCCAAAGUCUACAAGUGAUCAGCUACCUCUCGAAUCUGAACCACGGCUUCUCCCAUAAUGUAAUCCUUGUUACUAACUUGGUUCUGAAAAUAGUGAUGCUGUUCAUUCUGACACUCUUCACUUGCUUCAAGGAAUUCAAUCCUACUUUCACAAUUUUGUAGUGCCAUCUCUAAUUCUUCUCUUCUUCUUUUCAUCUCUUCAAUCUUGCUUAAGCUCCUCUCAGCUCCCUUGCAGAAUUAUGAUUUCGGUAUUGAUGAAGAGAUCUUUCCAAUUCAACCACUCUAGCCAUUAAUUCCCUUUUUUCAUUUCGACUUUCUGACAGUUUUUUCUCUAGGGUCUCAUUUUGCGUCUGGGCCUCCUGAAAUUUCUUUUCCCAUCUAUUAGCCUUGAUCUUUUCCUCUUGGAUUUCUUGAUGUCACUGUUUUAAAGUUUUCCCCAACCUAGUAGUUCUCAUUGAGAGACGCAACUUAUUAUAGUCUGUCUUCAAGUUAUCUAAAUCUUUCUAAGCCUUAUUCUUCCCUUUUCUUAACUUCUCAGUUUCUAGCUUUUGAAUAUCAAUGUCUAGUCUCAAAUUCAUCUUCUCUUCUUCCAUGUGGUCUAUCUUUUUUUCUAACUCUAAAUUUCUUCUAUCAAAAUCCUGCAUUAUAAUUUCUAGCUCGGAGGGGACAACUCGCAAGAGCUUUUCUAUUGGUUGAUUGUCUCUCUGACUUGGCCCAAGGAUAUUAUCAUUAAUUCUCCUACCCCACCACUCAAUAUAUUCAGGUGUCACCAUCGGUCCUACUACCAAUCUCUUCAUCCGUCGAGUCUGGUUCCAGGCAUUAGACAUCUCUCAAAUCUUCUUCUUGUAACCAUUGCCUUUAUAUGAGAAUUCGCACUAAACUAGUCCUUGGGUUGCGGGUACGAACUGGCUUGACCUAUACUGUCUUAGUACUAGCAAAGGUGCAUAACUAACAACUCCCCAAAUCCUAAGUAGAGGGACCUAGUCGAAAUCACCACAUCUAUAUAAGAUCUCAUCUGGAAGCAUCCAAGGAGCUCUCCAUUCGAUGUUAUUUUCUUGAAGAUUCUGAAGAAUUGCCAUCCAUUUUUCUUCUGAAAUAUCACCCUGAUAUACUUCCCCAGUUUAGCCGAAGCUUAACACAUCGAUUCGCGAUUAUGGUUUUACCUUUCUCGUGGAGAGAAAAGUAAUAAAAACCCAAUGAGUUUCUUUGAUUUUGGGUCUUUAAUAGGUACAAGCUCUAGAAAACUAUGAGCAAAGGUCCUUCAUUGCGGCAACAAUAAUCAAUCAAAUACACCACCAUAAUCCACUAAGAGAACCCACAAAGUUGACCUGGAGCAAUCUCGUACUCUUAGAGCAGAUGGCAGAAAAACGUAUCUAGGGGCAGAUGACACCCAACUUCCAAGAUGUGGAGGGGGAGCAAGAAACUGCCAUCACUGGUGUCGCUAACCUAUACGACCCAUCAAGACCCGAGAAUUCGUAAGCAAAGUUAGAGAUUUGAAUCCCUAUGCACACAAAGCUCGAUGCAUCUCUUCAUCUUUUGUAGUGCAGAUGAAAAGGUUGGCUUCAAUAAGGACCUUGGAAGUGCGCUCUCACGGUGGGCAACAUGGAAUUAACUGGCCAUGAGCUCCUCUCAUUCUCGACAUAUCUUUGAUGUAGAAAGAAGAAAAAAAGAUAGAGGAAAUUUAAAACCUAAGACAAGGAGUUACUGAGAUUUACUUUGAAGAAAAGCUUUGACUGAUUCUAGUAACAAAAAUGCUAAGUUUGUGCAUUUUAGGGUUUCAAAAAAAAUCCCUUUUUAAAGAACCCUCUUCCCCCACGUUUCGACAGUUUAAAUGAUCGAGGGACAUCAAUGGUCAGAUAUAUACAACCGCGAUUCACCUGUACACAUGGCGAAGCUGACACCAGAUUCCAAUAGACACUACGUAUUCUGCAAGCUAUAAUAAACGCAAAGUGAUGGCCCUAAAGAGCGCCACUUUAUAACCCUCCUUAGGCCUAUUAAGGGCAACCAGAUUGUUAUACACCAAUGAUCACCAACCUGAAACCCAUAGAACUGCCAGGGGAGCUCACAAUAUCAGCUCGCACGAGCCAAGGGGAGUUUGCGGUCUCAGUUCAGAUCAUAUCUAAGGAGUUUACAUGUAGGUGGUCGCGAGGUCUGGUAAGCGAGCUAGAAUGCUACAUGUGUCCAUCAGGCUUGAGGCCUAUUCAGAGCGUCAGUCCUAUGAAUAAUGGAGUCAAGUCCAUGAACAAUGGAGUCAAAUCAUAAACAGUAAUAGUAUGUAUAAAUACUCGAUUGUCCCCUUCAGUGGGACACAACACAGGAUUACUCAACAAAUAGUAUUGAGAAAUAAGGAUAAUUUAUGUUCAUCCCUUCAAAACUUUUAAAUAUUUUAAAUUAUAUUGUAAAAUAGAAAGCUUGAUAUUAUAGAUCAAGUAAAAUUAUUUUCAAAAACUCAUUAGAUAAUAUUAAUUCAAUUCUACCAAUAAGUGAAUGAAAGAAGUGAUACAAGACUUUUUCUUAAGUAUGUAUAUUGAGUUGUAAUAUUAAAGUCAUCAUUGUUGAAACAGGAGCGAAGGCAAAAAAAAAUUUUUGGGGGGACCGAAAUUAAAUUGUAAUUUUUACAAUAGUAAAAAUAUAAUUUUUAAAAAAUUAAAUCAAAAUUUUAUCAAUUUUAGGGGGACAAAGUGUAAUUUUACCUUUACUAAUUUAAAAUAUUAAAGGGCCAAAAUGAAAAAUUUUCUAUUUUAAGAGGGCCCGGGGUCCCUAGUAGCUCCCUAGAUUCACCCCUGAAAGAAUUUUACUCAAAUAUUACUUUUAGCUCAAACAAAAUUUAACUCAAACUAUACAAUAGAUGAAAAUAUUUGUGAUUAAAGUCAACUUUUAUUAAUUUUGUACUUUGUGCUAUAAUCAAUCAAGAGGUAUAUAGGUAGAUUUAUUUAGUUCUUAAGUUGUCGAUAAAGCUAGAAGGGAGGAAUUAGCAAAAGAGUACUGUUAGCCCCUUGCCCAAAAUAAUGGGCAUUAUCCUUAGCGAGUGAUAGCAAAGGUGAUUGCUCUUUACAACUUGAGAAGAAAUUUCCAAGAAUGUCACUUGACCCUUUCUGAUGACAAGAGAUUCCACAUUUUUAUUUAUAGCCAUUCAACAUAUAAGGUGAAUUAGUAUCACAAGUCUAAAAUUUAUUUAUGCUAUCAAUACAUGUGAGUAUUUCUAGAAAUUUGAGUGAAAUAUAUCACAUAAAAACUGAUUUUUAUGUAAUUUUCGUGACAAAACUGGUAUUGAGUUCAAUAAAAUAAAAUCUGCGAAUAGAGAAAACACUAGUAAUUUGUCUCAAGUAUUCCUUUUUGGAUCUUGAUUUAACCUGAACAAGAGCAGAUGAAAAUUUUCGUAGAUAAAAGCCGAAGACGAUAUUUUGAAGUAAAGGCUCAACUCAAUUUCCAAGUCAUAGUCUUUUGUGGAAAAGUAUUCUGAGUGGAAAAGUAUCCAGAAAAUGAUAGAAAAGGCUUUGGGCCACAAUUAAAUCAACAUAUGUAAAUUGUUAUACGAAAUUAAAGAUGGAAUCGUCAAUGUCAUGACAUCAACGUCUUAUUACUUUAUACUCUAAAGAAAAUUUUGUUAAUUAAUUACUACUUUAAUUAUCGACAAUAUUGCUAAUUAAUUUUAAGUUUGCACUUAGUACCCCUGCACCAUGUUCCGUUUCUACGACUAAUGAUUUUCCAAAGAAAAUUUUGAUUUAAGGAGAAAUUGCAAUUUCGGAUUCAAUUUAUAUAAGAAAAUUUCCUUUCUAAAAAAUUGAGAACACUAAAGCUUAAUCCAAAUUAAUUGCUAAGAAAAAUAGCAGCCAACAUGCAUUUGUUUCAUUGAAAAUUAAAACCAAGGAGGUAUCAUUUUCAAGAAAUAUGGACCAUAAGAAGAUUCUCCUUUUAUUAUAUACUAUUGAUACUAACAACAGAGAAAUUUUCAUAUGGCAACAAUUGCAACAACACCUUGACUGCUAUACAAAUCCAUCAGUUUGGAAACUAUAACGUAUAUGCUACUGCUAGAUAAACAGUUUAGAAAUAUCUGCUAAAGUCUUCUGCUCUACCAAACAUUAAAUGAAACAUGUUUAUCUAGGUAUAAAAGAAACAGUUUCUAAAAAUGACUACGCCAAAAAUGCCCAAACCAUUAUGAGGGUUUGAUUAUUUACAAUAAUCACCUCUUCUUAUUUCAUCUUCAGUGUUAGGGUCAACCUGAUUAGGUAAUAAACAAGUAAAAAUAGCAAAAGAAAUUGAAAAUUUUAACACAUAAAUUCAACAUGAAAAAAUCCGUCCAAAGAAAAUAAAAAACUAUGGGGAAAUAUAAUUUUACUAAAAUUGCAAAAGAACGAAAAGUAUAAAAGAUAGAGAUAGAAAUUAAACCCCGAAAACUCAUUAGAGAUUAGAAUUCAUAACACGUUUAAAGAAUUAUUUGUUUUCGGGUUUUCGAGGUUUAGUUUUUAUAUCUAUCUUUUGUACUCUUCGUUCUUUUGUUAUUAUAGUAAAUUUAACUUUACCUGUAAUUUUUAUCCUCUUGAGUUUUUUUAAAAUUAAAAUUGUGUGUUCAAUUUUUUAAUUUCUUUUACUUGUUCCUUACUUAAUUGGGUUGAUCCCCAACAUUUAGAUAUAAACAGAAGACCAAAAAGAGCUGUGGAUAAUUAGGGUUACUAUUCUUCCGAUUGAUGGUGCCCUUGGAUUUUGUAUCCCUGUUUGGAGGUCUUUUUAAUUAAUGAAUUCAUCGACUUAGCAAUAGAAAAAAAAAACAUAUCCAGAACUUGUGUUAGAAAUACCUUCAAGAGAUAAAAUAACAUUGUGUGAAACAAGUAUGAAUUCUUGGGCAACCACAAGACUCCACCAGUGUGACAAAUACAAAAGCUAAAGGCUAUCAAUCAAGAUAAAUUGUUUCAGGAGUGUUGGAAACUAGGAAGAUGAAUUUAACGGAAAAGUUACACUGUCGGUUGGAAUUCUCCUGGACAUUGAACUACUAGGAUUGGUAUCCCAUGAAUGGAUCAUGUCAUCUGUUUCAGAUUCUUCAUCACCACAGUCUUCAAUAACAGUUCCACCUGAAGCUUUAAUCAACUCCAGCUCCAUUACUACUUGUUUCAUGGUGGGUCUUUUCUUUCCAUUAAGAUUCAAGCAUCUUUUUGCUAGCAGAGCCACAACCAUAAUCUCCUGUUCUGAACCAUCCUUUACUACCAUUGGAUUGAGAAUGCUAAAUAAGGAAUUCUCCUGCAUUGAAUGCAAAAAAUAAGAUACCAAGCUUCUCACUUGUUCUGAUUGGUUUGCGGAGAUGGGUUUCUGUCCUGUUAAAAGCUCAAUAAGUACAACUCUGUUAAGUUUAGUUCCCAUGCAAAGGUGGCCAUGCACGACAUGCAAAGGUGGUCAUGCUUCUGGAAUCGCAGCAGGCAGUGGUGCCAUGGUGUGCAGCAAGCUGAAGCUAUCCAUUUAGUUUCCUUAAUUGAAUGUCUUGUAUUUAGUUAGGAUCAAACUUAGUUGGUAGCUGCAUUUUGAUGUAAUUAGGUGCUGAAUGACAAGUUUAGGUAGAAGCUUUUUGUUUUUCAAUCAAGUUUACCAAGUUCUAGGCAAUUUAGUGGUGUUAGGUAUGUUAUUAGGUGAUUACUUGUUUGUUUUACUUGUUGACUGAUAUAUGUAAUGGCUUAAUGCCUUGUUGGCUUGCUUAAUGAAAGAUAUCAGCUCAUUUUCAUUCAAUCUUUUUCUCUCUUUUUCUGUUUUCACUUGCUAGCUUCAUCUUUCUGUUUUUUCUGCUUCCGAGUUUGCUUCUUCACCAAGCCUCGAGGCUUACUACUCAAGCAAGACUAGAAACAGCUUGCUGCUGUCUCUUGCACCAACAAUUGGUAUCGAGAGCUCUUGUCUUAGUGGACCUGUUGCUUCAAAACAAAGAACUUGAUGGCUUCUUCAGGAUUUUCACCAGCAGCCCCACCAGUCUUCAAUGGAGAAGGCUUUCACAUAUGGCUGGUCAAGAUGAAGACUUACCUACAGGCCUUCGAUCUGUGGGAAGUUGUCAACACAGAUACUGAGCCAGCACCACUGAGGGCUAAUCCCACAGUAGCUCAGAUUAGGCAACAUGCUGAUGAGAGGACCAAAAGGCACAAAGCCAUGUCCUGCAUCCAGAACUGUGUGUCAGAUGUCAUCUUCACCAGAAUUAUGGCCUGUGAGACUCCAAAACAGGCCUGGGAUAAGCUCAAGGAGGAGUUUCAAGGCACUGAGAGAACAAGGCAACAGUAGCUGUUAAACUUGAGAAGGGAUUUCGAGAAUUUGAAGAUGAAGGAAGAAGAAACAGUGAAGCAGUACUCAGAUAGAAUUAUGGCAGUGGUUAACAGCAUAAGGCUCCUAGGUGAGCACUUUGAUGAGGCAAGAAUUGUGGAGAAAGUCCUCUCCACUUUGCCUGAGAGAUAUGAGGCCAAGAUAUCCUCUCUAGAGGACUCAAGAGACCUUGCUAGCAUCUCUUUGACUGAGCUAAUCAACACAUUUUAUGCUCAGGAACAAAGAAGAGCUAGCAGAGCUGAAGAUCACCAAGAAGGUGCAUUUCAAGCCAAGGCCAGAGAAACCUCGAGCACUAAUGCUCAAAGAGGCAAAAGGCCUUGGAAAAACAGGCCUAAGCCUGAUGCUGCAAGGAGCAAUGACCAGCCCUGCAGAUAUUGCAAGAAGCCUGGCCAUCCAGAAGACAGAUGCUGGUUUAGGCCAGAUGCAGUAUGCCAACACUGCAAGAAGAAGGGCCACGUUGAAAGGGUCUACAAAAACAGAAGUAAGCCAAGGCAGAAUCAAUUUCAACAGUCAAAGGUUGAAGCUCGAGUAGCUGAGGACAGUAGUGACCAAGAAGAACAGGUCUUUGCUGUUUCCUGUGUAGCUUCUGAGAAGAAAUGCUCUAAAGGCUGGUUGCUGGACAGUGGUUGCACUAACCACAUGUCACCAGAUGCCUCCUUGUUUAAAACCUUGGACAAAAGUUAUAAAACCAAGGUCAAGGUUGGAAAUGGUCAGUUUAUAAGGGCUGAAGGAAGAGGAGAAGUGCUGAUAUGUACUCCCACAGGCAACAAGAUCAUUCCAAAUGUGCUGUUGGUACCACAGAUUGACAGAAACCUUCUCAGCAUAGCUCAACUGCUCGAGAAAGGUUAUUCUGUUGUGUUCAAGGAUAAACAAUGCCAUAUUACUGAUCCAAGUGGAUCAAGCCUUAUGAUAGUCACAAUGACUGAUAAAUGUUUUGAGGUUCACUGGGCAAAUGACUCAAACUCAGCAUACACAGCCUCUGUUGAAGACUCCAAGCUUUGACAUCAAAGGCUUGGACAUGCCAACUUCAGAUCAAUAGCUCGAUUGGCCAAAGAGGGCUUGGCAGAGAACUUCAUCAGCUCAGUGGAGCAUGAUGAUGUGUGUGAAGUUUGCCAAAUGGGGAAACAGGCAAGACUGCCAUUUCCUACAAAUUCAACCUGGAGAGCUACUGAAAGACUGCAGCUGGUGCACUCUGAUGUAUGUGGCCCGAUGAGGACUGAAUCACUCAGCAAAAACAGGUAUUUCAUCCUCUUUAUUGAUGACCUUACAAGGUUUUGCUGGAUUUUCUUUUUAAAACACAAGUCUGAGGUAGCUCAAGUGUUUGUGAAGUUUAAAAAUGCUGUAGAAACAGAAACAGGUUGCAAGCUGAAAUCGAUAAGGACUGAUAAUGGCACUGAGUACACUUCAGCUCAGUUUCAAGCCAUUUGCAAUGAUGCUGGUAUCAAACAUCAGCUUACAAAUGUCUACACACCUCAGCAGAAUGGGGUAGCUGAAAGAAAGAAUAGAAGUCUGAUGGAUAUGGCCAGAUGUCUGCUGUUUGAGAAGAAACUGCCCAAGACCAUGUGGGCUGAGGCAGUAAACACUGCUGUUUACCUUCAGAACAGGCUUCCUACAAAAGCUCUUGCAUCCGAGACACCUUUCGAGGCUUGGUCUGGUUUCAAGCCUUCCUUAGCACAUCUGAAGGUGUUUGGUUGCCUGUGUUAUGCACAAAUACCAGCAGCAAAGAGAGACAAGCUCUCUAAAAGGGCUCAACCAGGUGUUCUAGUAGGCUACAGCUCAGUCAAGAAGGGCUACAGGGUUCUGGAUCCCUUGAUAAACAAAGUCCAGGUGAGUAGAGAUGUCAUCUUUGAUGAAAAAGCCUGCUGGAAUUGGGAGAAAAAUGAGCCAGAAGCAGUUUCAGAAGACCUAGUGCCUAACCAAGCUGAACUUGAGCAGCUAGGACCUGAAAUGGAUGUUGAUGAUGUGCCUGUGAGAGGCACAAGGCCCCUAGAUGAUAUUUAUGAAAGGGCACAGGUUACAAUAGCAGAACCUAGCAGCUUUGAAGAGGCUGAGGCAGAUGAAGGCUGGAAACUAGCUAUGAUCAAUGAAAUCAACAUGAUUGAAAAGAACCAGACAUGGGAGCUUGUUGAUAAACCUGCUAAAAAGAAGACCAUUGGAGUAAAAUGGGUCUAUCGAGUAAAACAGAAUGCAGAUGGCAGUCUGAACAAGCUAAAAGCCAGGCUUGUUGUCAAAGGAUUUAGCCAAAGGUAUGGUCUGGACUACCUGGAGACAUUUGCACCAGUAGCCAGGCUUGACACAGUUAGAAUGAUAGUUGCCUUGGCUGCUCAACAUCAGUGGACCAUUCAUCAGCUUGAUGUUAAGUCUGCAUUUCUUAAUGGCUUCCUAGAAGAAGAGAUCUACAUCGAGCAGCCUCAAGGAUUUGUGAUCACUGGCAAAGAACACAUGGUGUACAGACUGAAAAAGGCUUUAUAUGGCCUGAAACAAGCUCCUCGAGCCUGGUAUGCUCGAAUUGACUCUUACUUGCUCAGUUUGGAAUUUGAAAGAAGUCCCAGUGAACCAACACUGUAUGUGAAGAAGAACCAAGCUCAAACUCAGCUUAUUCUGUCACUCUAUGUUGAUGAUCUACUGAUAACUGGAGGAGAUGGAAGAAUGCUGGAAGAUUUCAAAAGAAAAAUGAUAGAAAUGUUUGAAAUGUCUGAUUUAGGCAGAAUGAACUACUUCCUUGGAAUGGAAGUGAACCAAACAGAAAAGGGAAUCUUUCUUUGUCAGAGUUCUUUUACUAUGAAGAUCCUGGACAAGUUCUCUAUGAAGAACUGCAAGCCAACAAGCACACCAAUGGCUGUUGGAGUGAAGCUUUCGAGGCAAGGGAGUGGUGAACCAAUUUGUGAGACCAUGUACAAGAGUCUCAUUGGCAGUCUGUUGUAUUUGACUGCCACAAGGCCCGAUAUCAUGUUUGCUGUUAGUAUGCUAUCAAGAUACAUGAAUUGCUGCAAUGAUCAGCACUUUCGAGCAGCUAAAAGAGUGCUGAGAUACAUCAAAGGCACCAUUGGUCAUGGUGUAUUGUUCAAAAGGGCCAAAAACAUGAAGUUAAUAGGCUAUGUUGAUAGUGACUGGGCUGGAUCAAGUGAUGACAUGAGAAGCACAUCCGGAUAUGCUUUCAGUCUUGGCUCAGGUAUGUUUUGCUGGAGUUCUAAGAAACAAAGUCUGGUGGCACAGUCAACAGCAGAAGCUGAAUAUGUUGCUGCUGCAUCUGCUGUGAACCAAGCCAUAUGGCUUAGAAAAAUCUUGACUGAUUUAAACCAAAACCAAAAGGAGGCAAUAGAGAUUUAUUGUGACAACAAAUCUGCUGUUGCAAUUGCAAAAAAUCCCAUUUUUCAUGGCAGAACCAAGCACUUCAAUAUUAAGUUGCAUGUUAUAAGGGAGAUGGAACAAGCUCAUGAAAUCGAGCUGAUUCAUUGCAAUUCAGAAGUCCAAAUUGCUGAUAUCUUCACAAAGGCACUCAAUGUGUCUAAAUUUGUUAAAUUCAAAAGGGAAUUAGGUGUUACUAGCAUGGAAACUAAGGAGGAGUGUUAAGUUUAGUUCCCAUGCAAAGGUGGCCAUGCACGACAUGCAAAGGUGGUCAUGCUUCUGGAAUCGCAGCAGGCAGUGGUGCCAUGGUGUGCAGCAAGCUGAAGCUAUCCAUUUAGUUUCCUUAAUUGAAUGUCUUGUAUUUAGUUAGGAUCAAACUUAGUUGGUAGCUGCAUUUUGAUGUAAUUAGGUGCUGAAUGACAAGUUUAGGUAGAAGCUUUUUGUUUUUCAAUCAAGUUUACCAAGUUCUAGGCAAUUUAGUGGUGUUAGGUAUGUUAUUAGGUGAUUACUUGUUUGUUUUACUUGUUGACUGAUAUAUGUAAUGGCUUAAUGCCUUGUUGGCUUGCUUAAUGAAAGAUAUCAGCUCAUUUUCAUUCAAUCUUUUUCUCUCUUUUUCUGUUUUCACUUGCUAGCUUCAUCUUUCUGUUUUUUCUGCUUCCGAGUUUGCUUCUUCACCAAGCCUCGAGGCUUACUACUCAAGCAAGACUAGAAACAGCUUGCUGCUGUCUCUUGCACCAACAAACUCCAAAGCUAUAAAUGUCACUCUUCUCUGUAAAUUGAUUUGUUCGAAAAUAUUCGGGAUCCAUGUAUCCAAAAGUUCCUUGCACCCGAGUGGUUAAAUGUGUCUGUUCAAGUGCAACUGAUCUUGAAGUUCCAAAAUCUGAUACUUUUGCCCUAUAUUUAUCAUCCAAAAGUAUGUUAUUAGAUUUGAUGUCUCGAUGAUAAAUAGGAGCAGAAGCAGCUGAAUGCAAAUAGAACAAGGCAUUGGCAAUUUCAAUCGCAAUUCGUAAACGCAUUUCCCAUGUCAAUGGUAAUUCUUCAUUUUGGUUAUGAAUGAGAUCGUAUAAUGUACCAUUUGGGAUGAACUCAUACACCAAU